CAGCCCCGGUCCCUGCAGCGGGAUGCUUCCCGGGAGUGGGCGUGUGUUUUGUUGGACCUUGACCCGGCUGGGAAAUCUCCUUUUCUCCUUGCAGUUCGUGCCGCUGUGUCCCGAGCGUCACUGGUGUCGCACCGUCAGGGCUCAGCCUUCGAGCCCGUACCGGAGGCUUGUGAGCGGCUCACCUGGAGCCCCGGGCCGGGAGUCAUCGGGUGUGAAGGGCGCUCUCUGGGCGGCGUGCGCUUGGAUUUCGUUAAUACGGCACCUAAGUGGCAGAUAGAGUCAGGGACCGAUGGAAGUUGUUUUGAACGCACCGAGAAUUUGUUCUCCUCCGGCUUCUAGUUUGCGUUUCAAUCCCCAAACUGUCAGUGUUGUAGGGAGACUUAUUAAUGGUGCCCUACUGGCCUCAUUUUGUUUUGCUUAAAGUCGUAUCUUCAGAUAAUUUAGGAUGGGGGGGUUGAGGUCCAGAAGAAAUGAGACGGCUAGGGUUUUUCAGGGACACCAGCAUUACCAGUCCAAGCGCGCUGCCCAGAACCGUGGCAGAUGGAGGAGAGAGCUACUCUGACGCGUCUUGGUCUUCGGCGCCCUCCUCAAGCGCUCCUGUGAAAAAGAAGACUCCUAGAAGAAUUGCAUGAUUUGCCCAAGGUCAUACAAUGAAUUAAAGGCGUAAAAUGAAGAAAACUCAGGUCUCCUGAGAGCAAGGCAUCAAGAAGGGAUGAAGAAAAGAAAGCCUGGAUGAACUGAUUUUUAGAGAGAAAUGAGGCAUUCAUGAAUGAACAGAAAGACUCAGCAGUUUUCUACUGGGGUAGGCACCUGGACUAAAUAUGGGCAGCUGGAGAAUUAGCCUGCCAAAGAUGGAGAUGAGGAGAAACCAACCAAGAUGUAGACAGCCUGUGGGCUUGUGGGAUGCACUGGAAUCUGGAAGAAGACUGCAGUAGAUUGAGUUUUCCAAAAAUGGCCUUAAUAGUAUCUCCCAUCCUACAUUCUUUUUCCAAAAAUGUGACAUUUGCCUCCCUCCCAUCGAAUGGUAUUGUCCAUGAUCCUUGCUUUGAAUCUGGUCAAGUUUGUGGCAAUGGCGGAAAUAAUGAUAUGUGAAUUCUGAGGCCAAGUCAUAAAAGGUGAUACAGCUUCUGCCUGGCCCUCUUGGGAGACAUGACUUUGCAACCCUGACUGCAAUGUAAGGAAUCCACUGCUGCUGUGCUGUGAGGAAGGGUCAUGUGGAGGUGUUCUGGAUCAUCCCAAGCUGAGUUCCCAGCCAGCAGUCAGGAUCAACCAGCAGGUGUGUCAUUGGAGCCACCUCUAGAGGAUUCCUGCUCCCUGCCAUUGUGUCACCUUCAGUCUGAGCCACAUAAUCCCUGAAUGUACUAAAAUAUUUUUGUUUCAAAUAGUAUUGUUUUAUUUCAAUUUAAAUGUCUUCAUUUCAAAUGUUUAAACUGCUAAAUUUGGGGUAACAUGAUGGAACAAUAAAUAACCAGAAUAAGCUCCAGAUUUGAAAAUAAAUUACUCACCUUGACAAUUCUCCCCUCCAUGUAUACCACUCACACCCAAAUAUUGCCAAGAAAGCAGCAGUGGAGGAAAGCCUGGACAUAGAGAUCGAACGCAUAUUCCUCUGCAUCCUCGCAGUGCUUGGAUUGUGGGCCCUAUCAGAGUUGAGUCUAACGAUGAGCCAAAAUUAUCUGAAGGUAACCCAACCUCCUCUCACCUCAGAUUUUUAAAAAAUUAAAGACAGAGUUAAUGCGUUGGUAGUUAGGCUAAUUAUGGGUGAAUUAAAGCUAAAAAACCAAGUGUGACUUGUGUCGAUGAAAAUAAUC
This 1808-nucleotide long non-coding RNA is filed under the name Equus caballus (horse). RNAcentral describes it as "lncRNA (ENSECAG00000058130.1)". The record is from RNAcentral. Lineage: Eukaryota; Metazoa; Chordata; Mammalia; Perissodactyla; Equidae.